This 253-nucleotide ribosomal RNA is filed under the name uncultured prokaryote. Its description in RNAcentral is "partial 16S ribosomal RNA". It matches the Rfam family "Bacterial small subunit ribosomal RNA", at positions 524 to 776 of the family's 1533-position model. The record is from RNAcentral.
UACGGGGGGGGCAAGCGUUGUUCGGAAUUACUGGGCGUAAAGGGCUCGUAGGCGGCCAACUAAGUCAUACGUGAAAUCCCUCGGCUUAACCGGGGAACUGCGUCUGAUACUGGAUGGCUUGAGUUCGGGAGAGGGAUGCGGAAUUCCAGGUGUAGCGGUGAAAUGCGUAGAUAUUCGGAGGAACACCAGUGGCGAAGGCGGCUCACUGGUCCAUUACUGACGCUGAGGUGCGAAAGCGUGGGGAGCAAACAGG